RNAcentral lists this long non-coding RNA (6765 nucleotides) under Sus scrofa (pig). RNAcentral describes it as "lncRNA (ENSSSCG00035001630.1)". The record is from RNAcentral. Lineage: Eukaryota; Metazoa; Chordata; Mammalia; Artiodactyla; Suidae.
GUAACACCAUAGAUCACUAAAGCAAAAAGAAUUUUAAAAUCUAAUUUGCUUUACACAAGGGAUUGGGAAGUCUGGCAGGAUUUGGGGUUCUUCAAGUAUCUUGGGUUAUUUCUCAAAUAUUUUGGGUUCAAUAAAAUCCAAAAUGCGUUUUGCCCUGAGCACUUUCCCCCUUAAUUCUGAAACCCAUGUGUAAUCUAAAGGAAAUGUAAUCCAUAUGUUUCUGAUUCAUUUACACUUAACUCAUCAAAAUAUUUUUCUAGGAGCUAUUUGAUGUUAAAGAAGCAUUUCGAGACUUUUUAAUAAGCUUUUUAAGACCUCCCCUCCCCCACUCCUUUAAAACAGAAGGCCCCAUUUUUGCCAAGGAGAAAUAAGCCCCAAUACCAAAAUAUGUGGGUUCGGUUCCAAAUGCGGAACCACAGCAUUUCAGAUAGGUUCUCAACUUAUCCAGUUAGUUCUUCUUUCCCAUUUUCUGGGUCUGGUUCAACAUGUAAAAUUCAGUAGAGUUGCCCAAGAUGAAAAUGGGACUCCUGUGAUUUGACCACAGGAUGGAGAGGAAGGAUUAAAACGGUGAGCCAACAAGGUUGUGAUGUCAUACAAAAAAAAAAAAAAAUUAAAGGUUACCACCCAGGGGCCAGAGCUGCAGUUCCAGGGGGAAUGAAGGGUCAAGGAAACUAACCUGUUGCAGUUAGAAUCCUGGUCGAGUCCCUAACUCCUAAUGUAAGCAAACAUGUUUUGUUUUGGAAGCCUGGCCCCGUGAAAGUAAAUAUCCUCCAAGGCUUUUUCACACUUUCCCCCAUAUAAACUAAAAUUCCCUGAUGGACUUAUCCCGGUCUCCUUUUAUUAUUUAUUAUUUUUUAUUUUCGCUUUUUAAAGCCGCACCCACAAGACAUAUGGAAGUUCCCAGGCUAGGGGGCGAAUCUGAGCUACCGCUGCCGGCCUACACCACAGCCACAGCAACGCGGGAUCUGAGCCAGCUCUGUGACCUACACCACAGCCUACCAGCUCCUUAACCCAUGAGCAAGGGCAGGGAUCGAACCCACAUCCACAAGGGUACUAGUUGGGUUCAUUUUGGCUGCACCACAGUGGCACCUCCUCUCUGUCACCCAUUGAUCCUACUCCCCAAAUUCUCCAUCACCAUUCUGAGGUUCGAUGUUUAAAACUCUGGAGCUUCAUAGCCUGGCCUUCCAUGCUCACCACAAUUCUGGCCCAAGGUGAUCUUGGCCUUACUGCCCACUCCCUGGGUCUCCACCACGGACCAUGACCUCGAGAUCAUCCAGUCUUGGUACUGUUUCUUCCUUAGAUGUUGAACUUGGCUGCAUUUGCUCAGGCCAUGUUCAUUGUCUUUGGCUUCACCGUAUUCAUGGAUGGAUCCCCACAGGCAGAUGUGUUGCUUCUUUUAACUGCAAACGUUUAGACCUCAGUUUCUCACCUGAGGCAUCCCUGACGUUUUGAAUCAGAUCAUUCUUUUUUUUUCAUCUGGGCACCCCUGUUCUCUGUCCUGUGCACUUUAAGUUUUGGCAUCCCUGCUCUCCACCCACUCGAUUUCAGUAACACUCCCUUGGUCAUGGACAUCAAAGUGCCUCCAGGUAGUGCCAGAUAUCCUGGGGGAGGGCAGCAGAGAAUCACUAGAAUAUUGUUGGUACCAUACCUAUGGGCAGCCGCAGAUUACCUGAGGUUGGAUGGAUAGAUGGAUGGAUGGAUGGAUGGAUGGACGGAUGGGUGGAUGGAUGCAUAGAUAGAUAGAUAGAUAGAUAGAUAGAUAGAUAGAUAGAUAAUGAUUGGUUUGUAUUUUAAGCUUCUAUCAAACUCAACUUCAUACCCAGACUAUUGCAUCCUUCAGUGAUUUGUAUAAUCUUGGUUAUACAUAUUCACUACAUAUUUGUUGAAUAAAAGAACAUAACCUUAACCUCCAGACCUAACUAGCAACUCACUUCUUCUAGAAAGAUCCAGGAUGUGCCCCUGCUGGUGCAAAACUCCUCUCCAUUGCCCUGCUUUGCAGUCAUUGUCUUAAACCAGACCCCUGCAGGCUUUGGUUAUCCUGUAAUAAUCGCUGCCUGUUCUUUUGUGGUAGGGGCUUUGCUACUGAACCACAGCUUGAGUCCACCUGCCUUCUGGCGGUAAAGCCCAUCCACUGACACUGAGUUGUGGGGAAGGAAAGGGCAGUGUUUGUUUUAAGGCGCCAUACAAAGAGUCCAGGACAGCUAAUGCUGAAAAAGCCCAAACUCCUCAAUGGGUUUCAGGGAAGAAUUUUUAUACUCAAAAUUGGGGAAGGGGAAGGCUGCAGGUAACCCUCCCCUGAUUGGCUGGUGGUGAGGUAACAGGGUGUUCAGUGGUCUUGGUCAUCAGCAUUCUGGUUCUAACCAGCCUGCCUUCUACAGGCUUGUGCUCAACCUAAAAUUACCAUCCUUCACCCAGGGGGGGACUCGAUUUCCUGUAGAAGAACUCAGACCUCGUGUCAAAUGGUUAUGCAUAUCCCCUCCCACCCCCCAGGAGAAACCAGGACCAGUGCUGUACUACCGUUUCUUUCUGCCUUUCCUCCCUCUUCUAACUACCAACUCUUUGAAUCUGCCCUUUGGAACUCAGAGAAGGACUUGAAGGCUGAAAACCUCUUACCUCCAAACAAGAAUCGGGGGACACAGAAAGGCCCUGGUACUCAGGAGGGCUCCACAAGGCCCUGCAAGGGUUCAGCAUUUCUACUUUAAGGGGAAGAUGCAGAUACAGCCUUAUCCUUUGGGAAGUUAAAAUCCAAAUGAUUUGGAAAAGACCUAUGCCAAUAUGUGGCUGAGAGAGAGUAAGAGAGAUGCCAUUAGUAGGGGUGACAGAUUCAGCAAUGUAGGAUGUCGUUAAUUUUGAAUUUCAGAUAAAAACUAAACCCUUUUAUUAGUAUGACUCCUGCAAUAUUAGGACAAACUUGUACUAAAAUUAUGUUCAUUGUUGAUCUGAAAUUCAAAUUUAACUGAGUGUCUUGUGUUUUAUUUGACAGCCCUAGCUCUCAAUGUAGAAAUUGUCCAAGAAGGACAGAAAUAAGAACAUUAAAAUAUAGGCACAGAGAAAGACAUAAUUUGCCUAUAGACAUCUGAGAUGGCUCAGAUUUUAGAGGAGGGUUUAUAACAGGGGCUAACAUAAAUAUAAUUGCUUGUAGAGGAUGAAGCCAGAUAAUACAAGUGCUUGAAACCAGGCAGAUAAAUAUACAUUUGAAGGGGAAAAAUACAGCAGUCCCCUGAAAAGUGCCUUUUCUCAUCUCCUGUUCUGUUUUCUCUUAUGUUCUUUUCCCUGUGUAAAUGGCCACCCCAUGGCCUCCUGCCACCUUGCCCACAUCGCCAUGUCCUCUAUUGGCAGGUGUUCAUUAUCUGUCAGUUUGCCCCUUUUGAUGAUUGGUCUGUCAUUGCUAUUAUAACUUUGUCCACUUUUGAAUUUCCCAGUUUUAGAAACUAAAACAGGCAAACAUCUUUUUCUUUUUCUUCUUUCUUUCUUUCUUUCUUCCUUUUUUUUUUUUUUUUUUUUGGCUUUUUAGGGCCACACUUGCGUCAUAUGGAGUGUGGCCAAGCUAGGGGUUGAAUCAGAGCUGCAGCUGCCGGCCUACACCAUAGCUGCAGCAAUGUGGGAUCCCAGCCAUGUCUGCUCUGCGACCUGUAUACACCACAGCUCACGGCAAGGGGUCCUUAAUCCACUAAGCAAGGCCAGGGAUUGAACCUGCAUUAUCAUAGAUAUUAGUCAGGUUUGUUAACUUUUUUUUUUUUUUACUCAAUGAAUUUAUUACAUUUGUAGUUGUACAAUGAUCAUCACAAUCCAAUUUUAUAGGAUUUCCAUCCCACAACCCUAGGGCAUCCCCCCACCCCUCAAACUGUCUCCUUUGGAGACCAUAAGUUUUUCAAAGUCUGUGAGUCAGUAUCUUUUCUGCAAAGAAGUUCAUUCUGUCCUUUUUUCAGGUUCCAUAGUCAGUGAAAGCAUUUGACAUUAGUGUCUCAUUGUCUGACUGACUUCACUUAGCAUGAUAAUUUCUGGGUCCAUCCAUGUUGCUAUAAAUGCCGGUAUUUCAUUCCUUUUAAUGGCUGAGUAAUAUUCCAUUGUGUAUAUAUACCAUGUGUUAACUUCUGAGCCACAAAGGGAACUCCCCAGCAAACAUCUUUUCCCUGCUUCAAGGGUUGUUGCCAUUCAUCCUCCGUGGAUAGAGUCUGCACUUUUGAACCUGCUCUUGAAGAUGUUGAUCAGUUUCACCUGGUUUCUGCACCCUUUUCUCAUGCGCUGCAGCAUCUCUCUUCUUCCAUAAUAAAGUGUGUCUUCACACUCCCUCUCUGUCCUCACUCCUUCAUGCAGCAUUUUUUUGCAGGUUAGGAAUAGCUUUCUCUCUCUCCCUCUGAAGCCUAGAUCCAUCCUUACUUCAGGAAUCAGUCCCAGCUUUGCAAAGCAAAGGCUUUGCUGAUUAGUCAAAAGAGCUCUAAUGCUCCAUGUUCUGAAUUCUCUUGGCAACGCCAGUUUGAAGCAGUACUCCCAACUGUUUGCUUAUAUCCUCCUAUAACAUUUCUUCCUUGUUUCCUGGGCAUACUCUUCAUCUUUUUAACUGUAAUAUUCUUAGCCACAAAGAGAGCUUAUAAAAAUAUUUUUAUAUCUCUCAUGGUGCCUGCCAUGCUUCUGGGCAUACAGCAAAUGCUCAAGAAAUACUUUUUGGCUUUAAUCGAAUUAGCAUCCAGGGAAAACAAUUUAGAAAAUAGUAUAUAAUUCAUAUCAAAUGUUUGAAAGUUUCUUACAGAAAUUUGUAGGAAAACCUGUGUCAAAGAUUAACCCUUUUGACUGAGAGCUUUCUUGCAAGUCAAAACAUAAAGAAAUAUCUAUGGAGGUUUUUGUGGGCUAUGAUUUUUAAGGGUCAUGGUUCCAUUACGCUCGGCUCUAGCAACUCAAAUGAUCAUCACAAUCCAUUACUGUCUUGAGAACCACAUGUAUUGUGGACAUUGUGUCAAGCAGUUUUCAAUUUAUCAUUGCAUUUUUAAUCCACAUGUGUGCUUAGAUACUGUAGUUUUGUCUUUUUUUUUCCUUUUUCUUCUAAAUAAGAAAAUUGAGGAUGAGGAAGGUAAACUCAGUUGACCAGAGGCCCACGACUGAGAAGCAGUUGCAGUGGCAUUUAAACUGAGGUUGGUCUGAUUCCAAAACCUACACUCUUUGCCACCACGCCCUUUUGUUUUUCUAACAUGAAUGGGCAGGGGAAAGUGAAAAGCACCCCCUGCCUCUUGUCUCUUAUUUUCUCCAAGGCCGGUGGGAGAGUCAGGAGGGCAAGAGUUCUUCCGCAAGAAUUUCUCAUCAGUAAUUUUCUAUAAAUCUAGGCCUGACAUUUUUUCUUUAUCUCCUUCUGCUUUUCAACAAGGUUUUGGUGUAGGACCUAUUAAUUCCAUUAAUUUCCUUCUCGUCUCCAUUGCUUUUCUUGUUGUUGUUUCCAUUUUCCUUGCUCUGGCUUAACGUAUGACAGUACCCUCCUAACUGGUCUGGCCACUUUAAAUCCCUUCCUCUUCAAUAUAUCAACAUAGUCUAUUAAAAAUUAUCACAUGCAGAUGAUUUUUAGCUUGAUAGGCCUGUUGUUAAAAGGAAAAAAACAGAUUUCAGUGACUUCUGAUGAAAACUGGUAAAAAACCAAGAUCUCAUUUGAUCAGAUUUCUUUAGGUUUCUGUAUGAGCCAUCUCCUAAUAGAACACAUUUUUUGAGGGUAGUGUUCCUAUUUGAUUACUUUUCAUGUUUAGUUUCUCAGAGCAUUUAGUUCACUUAGUACAUCCUUAAUAAAUACUUAGCAAGCUAUGCUCGCUAUACAAGCAGUGCUUGCAAGAGCAGUAUUGAAAAGUCUAGGAUUAAUUUUGAGGUUGGAAUAAUACUGCCUCCUGGUAACUAAGCUACACUUCAGACUGCUGAUAAUAGAAGCCUGUGGUCCAGUUAGGAAAGAACUUUUUCAUCAAGGUCAUUCUUAAUUUUCCGUUUGUUUUAAAACGAAUCUGUCUGAGGUUCACGAAGAGGCUCAGGGAAUCAAGAUAACCGAUGAGUCUUCAGAAAACCUGGUGAAAAUGAUAGAUUAGAGGGCCUGUCUUCAUAUCCGCUUGCUUUUUCCUGAUGGUUUUCCCACCGUUAUGGCGACUCUCUCUAAAUAAGGAAAAGAAUUAACCCUGAAAAAGAAGAUUAUUGAUCUUUUGGAAAUUCCCAAUUUUAAGGGAAAUUCAAAGGAAAAAUGUGUAACGUAAGGGUUUGGUGACAUCACAGCAGGAAGAUAAUUUCACCGACAUGCUUGCUCUUGCAAGGAAUGAAACUAUUCAGUGACAGGGCACAGUUCUUCCGUGAUUACAAGCAGUGACAUUUGGUAUUCCAUUUAGCCCCCAAAUAAAAUUCAAAUUUUGCAACACUUCAUCUAGCAGAAUAUUAAUCCCCUGAGACUGGAAAGGAGAGCCAGUGUGAACAAAGCCUUACAGGGUGGAUCAAGUCAAAAACACACGUACACCCAUAUACAUACACACGUCUGUGCACACACAUGUGAGAGGAAACAGGUUUGAAAGGUUAUAGAAGUCCCCAGUCCUAUGCGUAUAAGUUUAUCUGGUUUUUUGGCCACUGUCCCACUAAGCUCAGAAUAGAGCGGGCCAUGUUGUGACGAAUAAUUAUUUCAUCGAAUAAUUGCUCCAUGCCUCCAACACCAGCCCUUUAAGAACCAAGCUAGGGAAAAAAGACCAGCAAAUAUGUAAAUUGGAACUGAUUAGGGGAUGAAGUUUCACUAAAAAAAAAAAAAAAAAAAAAAAA